Schizosaccharomyces pombe (fission yeast) is the source of this 540-nucleotide non-coding RNA. The record is from the annotation of a GenBank genome assembly. NCBI's taxonomy places the organism in Eukaryota, Fungi, Ascomycota, Schizosaccharomycetes, Schizosaccharomycetales, Schizosaccharomycetaceae.
CGCUAAUAAGCGCAAAAAAAUUUUGAAGCGAUUUUCAAAUAGGCUUUGAAAUGUGUACUUAAAGGUAAAAAAUGGUGUUUAAAAACUAUGGCAAAUUUAAUUUGACAAUAUAACAAAAAUUGCACAAUAGUAGAUUGCUCCUUCCAUAUCGAAGCAUCUCUUUCUAAUAACCAAGACCAAACUUUAUCUAAUUGACCUUGUACCAUUGAAAUUCAUGUUUAAAAGAUAUACAAACGAUUUUAAUAGGAAUAUUAUCAAUGUUGAAUGUAAUCACCUGGUGCUCAAACUCCUCAGGGACGUGGGAUAUGGAGAUGAUAAAUUUUGCACAACAUUAAUCGAAACAGUGCGAAAACACAUGAGAAGUUGAAUAAUUGUAUUAUUAGCCCUUAACUUCUUAGGGUAGCCGUUUAAAUGUCAUUCAUCCUAAACUGAAAAAAAAAAUGUGACAUUGAUGAAAUAUAGUUUUCCACACGCAAUUUAUGUAAAAUAAUCAUAUACAUUUAUAAAAAUCAGAAAGCAAUUAUUAAAAGGAAACAAUUG